RNAcentral lists this unclassified non-coding RNA (489 nucleotides) under Hevea brasiliensis (rubber tree). The record is from RNAcentral. Lineage: Eukaryota; Viridiplantae; Streptophyta; Magnoliopsida; Malpighiales; Euphorbiaceae.
CUUCUGUUAUGUGCAAAAGGUGGGGAACAUCAACAGAACGGAUUCAUUCAGCAGCAACCACUCUCUCAACAACUUCAUCCACUACAGCAGUUGCAGCAGCAGCAAGUUCAGAUUUCCUGUCGAACUGGUGGAAAGUGGAGGAAAAAGGCUCUUGUUAUCUUUGUCUUUGGUGGGGUGACUCUAGCCAUCUGGUUGUAUUUGUACCUGAGUGCAGACAUUGCAUUGAGGAGGAAAGAAACACUGACAAGCAUGUGUGACGAACGAGCGCGAAUGUUGCAGGACCAGUUCAACGUAAGCAUGAACCAUGUUCAUGCAUUGGCUAUUCUUGUUUCCACAUUUCACCAUGGAAAACAACCUUCUGCAAUAGACCAGAAAACUUUUGAAGAAUAUACUGAGAGAACAGCUUUCGAAAGGCCACUUACAAGUGGUGUUGCCUAUGCUUUAAGAGUUCGUCACUCAGAGAGAGAAGAGUUUGAGAAGCUGCAUGGG